GAUGAACGCUCGCGAUAGGCUUAACACAUGCAAGUCGAGGGGCAGCAUGGUCUUAGCUUGCUAAGGCUGAUGGCGACCGGCGCACGGGUGCGUAACGCGUAUGCAACUUGCCUAACAGAGGGGGAUAACCCGUCGAAAGACGGACUAAUACCGCGUACACUCUAUGUUGGGCAUCCAAUGUAGAGGAAAUGAACUUCGCUGUGAGAUAGGCAUGCGUCCCAUUAGCUAGUUGGUGAGGUAACGGCUCACCAAGGCGACGAUGGGUAAGGGAACUGAGAGGUUGGACCCCCACACGGGUACUGAGACACGGACCAGACUACUACGGGAGGCAGCAGUGAGGAAUAGUGGUCAAUGGGCGAGAGCCUGAACCAGCCAAGUCGCGUGAAGGAUGACUGUCUUAUGGAUUGUAAACUUCUUUUAGACGGGAAUAACAAGAGUCACGUGUGGCUCCCUGCAUGUACCGUAUGAAUAAGCAUCGGCUAACUCCGUG
Molecule: ribosomal RNA, 490 nt
Filed under: uncultured bacterium
Lineage: Bacteria
Description: partial 16S ribosomal RNA
Rfam family: Bacterial small subunit ribosomal RNA
Source: RNAcentral